This is a long non-coding RNA of Pipra filicauda (Wire-tailed manakin), 890 nucleotides long. RefSeq lists it as uncharacterized. The transcript is spliced from 3 exons. NCBI's taxonomy places the organism in Eukaryota, Metazoa, Chordata, Aves, Passeriformes, Pipridae. The record is from RefSeq and is a predicted model, not a curated record.
UCACACUAAAGAAAGUCUAGCUCUGUUCUUUGUAUCAAGGAUUUAGGCAGAUGGCUAAAACCUUCCAUUUCUUGGGUUGUCAUUGAAAAAAUAAGAUUUAGGUUUGACACUGUGCAGGCAGCCCAACCUACCCAUAGCUGGCAGAAUGGAGGAGGAACUGAAAGAGUAGGAGAGAGAGAGGAGGAAGAAGAGGGGAGGCUGGGGAACAGAGAGCACUCUCUGACUUCUGAGCUUUUCUCCUGCUGUUUUGCCUGACUGAACUCUCAUCCCAGAGGUACUGCCAGUGUCAUCUGUUUCUGUGGUGUGUAGCAUGAGCCAGGCUCUACUACAACAUAGAAUGUACCCAGGAGGCCUUGUUUCAAUAGGUAAAUGUCUCACCUGAUGAUGAAAGAAGAGAUGCUUCUCCUCAGAUGACCCCUGCUAUGAAAUUUGAAGAGUUAUGUGACUUCUGAAAAUGUCUGAGCAGCAAAUGGUCAGGUGACUCCAGGCAUCAAAUGAGUGCAGCAUUGACCUCAGAUGACCCCAAGCAGAUCGUUGGCUGCCAUGUUGACCCCAGGUAUAAAUGGCAAGAAGAUUUGAUAGUCAGCGGUGGACUUUGUGGACCCAGCAUCUCUCUCUGUGCCAGAUGUACCAACAGAAGAAUGAACUGGGUUCCGCUGCCCCACCACUGAGAAACUCGGGGUGAACAAGGAGCAAUGGGAUGCCGCUGGAUCCACGAGUAGUGACUAUCUUUUGCUUGUGCUAUCUCUCUCCUCUUUCUCUCUUUCUCUCUUUUUCUCUCUUUCUCUCUUUUUCUCUCUUUUUCUCUUUUUGUCUCUUUCUUCUUCUCCCUUUCUCUUUCCUCUACACACUUAAUGUUACAAAAUAAAGUCAGUAUUGUUGAACUGGCA